This is a non-coding RNA of Schizosaccharomyces pombe (fission yeast), 819 nucleotides long. The record is from the annotation of a GenBank genome assembly. NCBI's taxonomy places the organism in Eukaryota, Fungi, Ascomycota, Schizosaccharomycetes, Schizosaccharomycetales, Schizosaccharomycetaceae.
AGCCAAUGCACCGGCCAAAAAGAAAGAAAAAAGAAAAAAAAAAAAAAAAAGGAAAACUAGAGUAAGGGAGGAAGAGGUAGGUAGGUAGGCUGAGUAAUAAGAAGGUGAGAGUAAAGGAAGGUGGUAAAAAUAAUCAGUAAAAUGAUAUUAGUAGAUAGAAGGAUGAUUAUGAAUAGAAGGAAAAGUUGGUUAUAGAAGGAUGAAAGACGAAUUACUAUUGUUGAAAAAGACGAAUUACUAGUUGUUUUGUUUGGUCUUUAUUAAAUGAAUUACUUAGUUUGUUUUGGUUAACUUUUUUUUUAAUUUUUUUUUUUUAGUUAUUCAUAGAAAGACGAGGGAAGGACGAGUUUUAUGUGCAUCAAAUGUGUUUUGUUAGUAAUGUUUUUGUUUGUGCUGUUUUUGUUGUCUUUUGCCGACUGACCAUUUCCUUCCACCAACUUUUUGCGUAGUGAAUGGACUGUGCCUUGUUGUCUGUAUCGCUCGAUCAUAUUGUUCAAUCAUGUUACUCGGCAAAUUUUCUUCUUACAAGCUAGUCAUGUUUGCUGUGGAAUGAGAUGGAGGGCAGCAUGUUGCGUGCAGCGUUAGACAGGCAGGCGAGAAGAAUAAGCAGAAGCAUGGGAUAGAGAGUGUUAGCGGAGUACAACAGCAAUGAGUGUACAAGGUCUCUCUCAAUAAAAAGAUUGUUCAGCACUCACACUAUAGCAAGAUCAUUAGUAAUACUAAAACAACGUAUAUAACUAUUCAUUCAACAAAUAAAACUAUUCAUAUAACAAAUAAAACCAUUCAAUAAAUAAAAUUAUUCAUUCAAUAAAUGCUAUU